RNAcentral lists this ribosomal RNA (252 nucleotides) under uncultured bacterium. RNAcentral describes it as "partial 16S ribosomal RNA". It matches the Rfam family "Bacterial small subunit ribosomal RNA", at positions 526 to 779 of the family's 1533-position model. The record is from RNAcentral.
CGAAGGGUGCAAGCGUUGCUCGGAAUUAUUGGGCGUAAAGGGUUGGUAGGUGGUCUUGUUUGUCUAAGGUGAAAUCCCAUGGCUUAACUGUGGAAGUGCCUUAGAAACGGCAAGACUAGAGUCCUAGAGGGGUUGUGGAAUUCCCGGUGUAGCGGUGAAAUGCGUAGAGAUCGGGAGGAACACCAGCGGCGAAGGCGGCAAACUGGAUAGGCACUGACACUCAACAACGAAGCGUGGGGAGCAAACAGGAUU